This 254-nucleotide ribosomal RNA is filed under the name uncultured bacterium. Its description in RNAcentral is "partial 16S ribosomal RNA". It matches the Rfam family "Bacterial small subunit ribosomal RNA", at positions 524 to 776 of the family's 1533-position model. The record is from RNAcentral.
UACGGGGGGGGCAAGCGUUGUUCGGAAUUACUGGGCGUAAAGGGCUCGUAGGCGGUCUGUCGCGUCGGUCGUGAAAACUUGGGGCUUAACCCUGAGCUUGCGGUCGAUACGGGCAUGACUGGAGUUCGGCAGGGGAGACUGGAAUUCCUGGUGUAGCGGUGAAAUGCGCGGAUAUCAGGAGGAACACCGGUGGCGAAGGCGGGUCUCUGGGCCGAUACUGACGCUGAGGAGCGAAAGCGUGGGGAGCGAACAGG